RNAcentral lists this ribosomal RNA (1372 nucleotides) under uncultured bacterium. RNAcentral describes it as "bacterial SSU rRNA". It matches the Rfam family "Bacterial small subunit ribosomal RNA", at positions 28 to 1381 of the family's 1533-position model. The record is from RNAcentral.
GAUGAACGCUGGCGGCGUGCCUAAUACAUGCAAGUCGAGCGAACGGACGAGAAGCUUGCUUCUCUGAUGUUAGCGGCGGACGGGUGAGUAACACGUGGAUAACCUACCUAUAAGACUGGGAUAACUUCGGGAAACCGGAGCUAAUACCGGAUAAUAUUUUGAACCGCAUGGUUCAAAAGUGAAAGACGGUCUUGCUGUCACUUAUAGAUGGAUCCGCGCUGCAUUAGCUAGUUGGUAAGGUAACGGCUUACCAAGGCAACGAUGCAUAGCCGACCUGAGAGGGUGAUCGGCCACACUGGAACUGAGACACGGUCCAGACUCCUACGGGAGGCAGCAGUAGGGAAUCUUCCGCAAUGGGCGAAAGCCUGACGGAGCAACGCCGCGUGAGUGAUGAAGGUCUUCGGAUCGUAAAACUCUGUUAUUAGGGAAGAACAUAUGUGUAAGUAACUGUGCACAUCUUGACGGUACCUAAUCAGAAAGCCACGGCUAACUACGUGCCAGCAGCCGCGGUAAUACGUAGGUGGCAAGCGUUAUCCGGAAUUAUUGGGCGUAAAGCGCGCGUAGGCGGUUUUUUAAGUCUGAUGUGAAAGCCCACGGCUCAACCGUGGAGGGUCAUUGGAAACUGGAAAACUUGAGUGCAGAAGAGGAAAGUGGAAUUCCAUGUGUAGCGGUGAAAUGCGCAGAGAUGUGGAGGAACACCAGUGGCGAAGGCGACUUUCUGGUCUGUAACUGACGCUGAUGUGCGAAAGCGUGGGGAUCAAACAGGAUUAGAUACCCUGGUAGUCCACGCCGUAAACGAUGAGUGCUAAGUGUUAGGGGGUUUCCGCCCCUUAGUGCUGCAGCUAACGCAUUAAGCACUCCGCCUGGGGAGUACGACCGCAAGGUUGAAACUCAAAGGAAUUGACGGGGGCCCGCACAAGCGGUGGAGCAUGUGGUUUAAUUCGAAGCAACGCGAAGAACCUUACCAAAUCUUGACAUCCUUUGACAACUCUAGAGAUAGAGCCUUCCCCUUCGGGGGACAAAGUGACAGGUGGUGCAUGGUUGUCGUCAGCUCGUGUCGUGAGAUAUUGGGUUAAGUCCCGCAACGAGCGCAACCCUUAAGCUUAGUUGCCAUCAUUAAGUUGGGCACUCUAAGUUGACUGCCGGUGACAAACCGGAGGAAGGUGGGGAUGACGUCAAAUCAUCAUGCCCCUUAUGAUUUGGGCUACACACGUGCUACAAUGGACAAUACAAAGGGCAGCGAAACCGCGAGGUCAAGCAAAUCCCAUAAAGUUGUUCUCAGUUCGGAUUGUAGUCUGCAACUCGACUACAUGAAGCUGGAAUCGCUAGUAAUCGUAGAUCAGCAUGCUACGGUGAAUACGUUCCCGGGUCU